This is a long non-coding RNA of Anneissia japonica, 478 nucleotides long. RefSeq lists it as uncharacterized. Lineage: Eukaryota; Metazoa; Echinodermata; Crinoidea; Comatulida; Comatulidae. The transcript is spliced from 3 exons. The record is from RefSeq and is a predicted model, not a curated record.
UGUACACUGACUAGGGAGCUCUGUUUUUACAUAGAAAAUGGGACACUCAAUGCUCAACUAGGAAGCAGUGUUUUAUCAAAUUCAAGCACAGUCAUUGGUGAGAAUCAGUGGACUCAUGUUGCCAUGCGGUAUGAUGCACAAAAUCAUGAAUUAUCACUAUUCAUAAAUGGAACAACAUUACCAACACCUGGACCAGAGGCUACUCUUGAAGACCUUAGUCCUAUCACAUGGGUAAGAUUUAUUCUAAAUUAUUUUAAAAUAUACUAUUAUUAGUAUAGAAUAAUAGAAAGGCUAUGUAUUUAUUUAUUCACAAUCUUUAGCCAGGGUGGCAAAAAAGGUUAGCACCUUUCCAUUUAAAGGAAUGUUUAUAGUAUUCUGCCCAGUGAAAGUGAUUUUCAACUACAGUAUUUCUUGUGAAAUAUUAUGAUUUUCAUCAGCAUUUAAACAACUUAAUUUCGCAAUUCAGUUUCUCAACUGC